This 1017-nucleotide ribosomal RNA is filed under the name uncultured bacterium. Its description in RNAcentral is "bacterial SSU rRNA". It matches the Rfam family "Bacterial small subunit ribosomal RNA", at positions 355 to 1375 of the family's 1533-position model. The record is from RNAcentral.
UGAGGAAUAUUGGUCAAUGGACGCAAGUCUGAACCAGCCAUGCCGCGUGCAGGAUGACGGCUCUAUGAGUUGUAAACUGCUUUUGUACGAGGGUAAAUGCAGAUACGUGUAUCUGUCUGAAAGUAUCGUACGAAUAAGGAUCGGCUAACUCCGUGCCAGCAGCCGCGGUAAUACGGAGGAUUCAAGCGUUAUCCGGAUUUAUUGGGUUUAAAGGGUGCGUAGGCGGUUUGAUAAGUUAGAGGUGAAAUUUCGGGGCUCAACCCUGAACGUGCCUCUAAUACUGUUGAGCUAGAGAGUAGUUGCGGUAGGCGGAAUGUAUGGUGUAGCGGUGAAAUGCUUAGAGAUCAUACAGAACACCGAUUGCGAAGGCAGCUUACCAAACUAUAUCUGACGUUGAGGCACGAAAGCGUGGGGAGCAAACAGGAUUAGAUACCCUGGUAGUCCACGCAGUAAACGAUGAUAACUCGUUGUCGGCGAUACACAGUCGGUGACUAAGCGAAAGCGAUAAGUUAUCCACCUGGGGAGUACGUUCGCAAGAAUGAAACUCAAAGGAAUUGACGGGGGCCCGCACAAGCGGAGGAACAUGUGGUUUAAUUCGAUGAUACGCGAGGAACCUUACCCGGGCUUGAAAGUUAGCGACGAUUCUUGAAAGAGGAUUUCCCUUCGGGGCGCGAAACUAGGUGCUGCAUGGUUGUCGUCAGCUCGUGCCGUGAGGUGUCGGGUUAAGUCCCAUAACGAGCGCAACCCCUACCGUUAGUUGCCAUCAGGUGAAGCUGGGCACUCUGGCGGGACUGCCGGUGUAAGCCGAGAGGAAGGUGGGGAUGACGUCAAAUCAGCACGGCCCUUACGUCCGGGGCUACACACGUGUUACAAUGGUAGGUACAGAGGGCAGCUACCCAGCGAUGGGAUGCGAAUCUCGAAAGCCUAUCUCAGUUCGGAUUGGAGGCUGAAACCCGCCUCCAUGAAGUUGGAAUUGCUAGUAAUCGCGGAUCAGCAUGCCGCGGUGAAUACGUUCCC